ACACUCCUGCGGGAGGCAGCAGUGGGGAAUUUUGGACAAUGGGGGCAACCCUGAUCCAGCAAUGCCGCGUGAGUGAAGAAGGCCUUCGGGUUGUAAAGCUCUUUUGUCAGGGAAGAAACGGUGGUGGCGAAUAACUACUACUAAUGACGGUACCUGAAGAAUAAGCACCGGCUAACUACGUGCCAGCAGCCGCGGUACUACGUAGGGUGCAAGCGUUCAUCGGAAUUACUGGGCGUAAAGCGUGCGCAGGCGGUUGUGUAAGUCAGAUGUGAAAUCCCCGGGCUCAACCUGGGAAUUGCAUUUGAGACUGCACUGCUAGAGUGUGUCAGAGGGGGGUAGAAUUCCACGUUUAGCAGUGAAAUGCGUAGAUAUGUGGAGGAAUACCGAUGGCGAAGGCAGCCCCCUGGGAUAACACUGACGCUCAUGCACGAAAGCGUGGGGAGCAAACAGGAUUAGAAACCCCUGUAGUCC
This 471-nucleotide ribosomal RNA is filed under the name uncultured organism. Its description in RNAcentral is "partial 16S ribosomal RNA". It matches the Rfam family "Bacterial small subunit ribosomal RNA", at positions 333 to 796 of the family's 1533-position model. The record is from RNAcentral.